Molecule: non-coding RNA, 2050 nt
Organism: Musa acuminata subsp. malaccensis (wild Malaysian banana)
Lineage: Eukaryota; Viridiplantae; Streptophyta; Magnoliopsida; Zingiberales; Musaceae
Source: RefSeq, a predicted model, not a curated record
AUUCCACGUUAUUACAUUAUUAUUUCUUGAGGAGAUCACGUGAUCAACAGCCUUGUUUUAUAUUUUUAUUUAUAUUCAGACACGAAGUCUCAAUCGUUCGAGUACGGCAACAACAGCAAGUUGUAAUUAUUUGGAAUUGACUAUAUUAAAUUGACAGCAACAGUAAGCUCAGUACAAAUGGAUCCUUAGCCCGGGUCUUAAUUAACCCCAAUUUAUAUAUAAUGGGCCAUUAGUAACGCCCAAUAACAAAUGGAUCCUUAGCCCGUGAAACCUAUUGGUCCACCGAUGGUUUUGCGCUUCCCCUCGUCACCGUCCCCCACCCGAUACAGUGUUCGUGAUGUACGACGAUUUCGCACCGGAGAAGCCACACGAGCCUUUCUCGGUACGCCGCCGUCAUCCUCUCUUCUCUCUUGUCCUAUAUCUCGCCUAAUCUUUGGUGGGAAGCCUGCCUCCGAGAUGAAACCCUAGCCCGCGGUCUCUUUCGUCCUCUGACAUCGCCGUAGUUCAAGUACGUCGUAGCUACGGUUCGAAUGGCGUGGAAAGAUUCGACCUCCUGUUGCUUUCUUGGUUGAAUUUGUUCGCAGUUUCAGGAGUGCAAAAAGGCGGUUUCGAGGAGCAGCAUGGGGAUGAUUUAGGUUCCCAAUUCGAAGAUAUCAUCGAUCACAUGUGGCAAGUGUGAUUUCCGUUGCUCUCAAUUGAUGAGGGAAGGUAUCAUUUACAGUCUGGACCUGGGCAGUCGGCAGUGAUAUCCUCCGAGAUAAAAACCUUAAGCUCCCGAGGUGUCAAUUGAAGACCGAGGUUGGAAGAGAUUUUGGUACUAGUGCGGACGUCGAUAGUCAAAAUGGGUGGAGGGUGGCUUUGUCUUCUCUUUUCAUCCUAGACACCACUUGACGGUUGUGUAUCAGAUAACUAUUGGCUGACGGCGUACUCCCUAUCACCAAUCAUGCUUUAUCAAGUUCUUGGAUAGUUUUAUGACCUUUAUCUUAUUUUUCGGUAGAUUCUUGAACUCCUAAACAUGAUGCAUUAUGUAUUCUACUAGUUGCUUCUUUACCUUGCUUGGAAGUACAAAAACAUUUCGUUGCUUGCUGAGUUUGUGGUAUUUAUAUCACUCCCCCCCCUUUAGGAGUACUUGUAACUUAGCUCUAUUUGAGGAAGACUUGGUAAACUCUAUGCAGAUAGAAGGCCAUUUUACAUAAGAAGCUUGUUUAGAGUGGUGUAUUCAUGGCAUAAUGGCUGGUGAGCAAAUGACUCGUGUAACAUGAUCAACUCUGCAAGCAAUGAGGUGCAUUAACCACAUUUGCAAAUAUCACAAAAAGAUCAAGGAAUUGCAAGGAGUUGAGGAGCAUCUGAAAAAUCAAUAGAAACUAUUAGUUACUGGGCCAAUGGGCACAUCAACUCAUAGCUUGUGCAGGCCAUCCAUGAACAAACAUCUGACUGCACAAGGUUGUUGAAUUAUCUGCAGAUGGCCGAUGAUGAUUGGCAAAUAAGAUGUCUGCAGACUGGUUCCAAGGGCAAACACUUGGAGCUGAUAUUACUCUUACAAUCAAUGGGCUAUGGGCUAUGGGAGGGGAGGACAUGACUAGGCGAGGACAGAUUUGACAUCGAAGACCUUCAAGAGAAGUAUCAAAUCUCAGCCAUGCGUGGCCUCAGAGUUCCGCCAUCAACACACCACAUGAUGCUGGCUCGUUAUUAUCGAUCACCAGCAAUUUUUCCACCGGUCUGUUCAAAUCAGUAGCGACGACCGCGGGUUGAUUUAAAAUGUGGUCAAGUCCAACUCGCACGCAUGGAAAAAGGGAAGAGAGAGAGAGUGAGAGAGAGUCCAUGAUCAACGUGGAAUACUGGUCGGAGGGCAUUUAUCACGGACAUGUCGUUGUCCGAUCCCUUGUUGGUUUUGGAUGGAUGAGAAGCGUGAGUUGUGAGUGUAGAAGGCUUCUCAUCUACAAACCUUUUGGAUCCACUUUCUUAGGAGUACAAUGGUGAAGUGACGAUGAAGAUAAUGCAAUGCGUGUCAUGAGCUUGGGUAUUAAGAUAAUUUUGAAUGCUUAAUUAA